Molecule: non-coding RNA, 30 nt
Filed under: Rattus norvegicus (Norway rat)
Lineage: Eukaryota; Metazoa; Chordata; Mammalia; Rodentia; Muridae
Source: RNAcentral
UUCUGAAAGGGUACUACCCAGUGGUGAUAA